Molecule: long non-coding RNA, 328 nt
Filed under: Nicotiana benthamiana
Lineage: Eukaryota; Viridiplantae; Streptophyta; Magnoliopsida; Solanales; Solanaceae
Description: long non-coding RNA (NBEN_LNC001900)
Source: RNAcentral
ACCACACUGAGCAAUGCGAAUCAAGCUUUGUCUGAUUACAGGGCGCUGCUCUAAUCCCCAACUAUCUCCACAUAACUUCAAUACAUCCCAAAGCGCCAAACACAAUAUCAACCCUACAAGCGCAAGCAGCUUUUGGUACCUGUAACCCAAAUUUAUCAACAUUCAACUAACAAUCAAAUUGCACUAAAAUAAAGAAACCAAGCAACAGAAAUUAAAUCCUGCAGUUACAUACAACAACAACAACAACUACCCAGUAUAGUCCCAGAAAGUGGGGUCUGUGAAGGGUAAUAUGUAGACGAGCCUUACCCCUACCCGAAAGGGCAGAGAG